GGGCCCGCACAAGCGGUGGAGCAUGUGGUUUAAUUCGAUGAUACGCGAGGAACCUUACCAGGGCUUAAAUGUAGUAUGACCGGCUUGGAAACAGGCCUUCUCUUCGGAGCAGAUUACAAGGUGCUGCAUGGUUGUCGUCAGCUCGUGCCGUGAGGUGUUAGGUUAAGUCCUGCAACGAGCGCAACCCCUAUUCUUAGUUGCCAGCGGUUCGGCCGGGGACUCUAAGAAGACUGCCAGCGCAAGCUGAGAGGAAGGUGGGGAUGACGUCAAAUCAUCACGGCCCUUACGUCCUGGGCUACACACGUGCUACAAUGGUAGAGACAGAGGGCAGCCACUAUGCGAAUAGGAG
Molecule: ribosomal RNA, 349 nt
Filed under: uncultured bacterium
Lineage: Bacteria
Description: bacterial SSU rRNA
Rfam family: Bacterial small subunit ribosomal RNA
Source: RNAcentral